AUGACACAUUGGGGUCGCAUGGCCCUGAUGUCAAAGAUUUAUCGCUGAAAGAUGGACCCGCGUCUGAUUAGCCAGUUGGCAGGGUAACGGCCUACCAAAGCGACGAUCAGUAGCCGACCUGAGAGGGUGACCGGCCACAUUGGGACUGAGACACGGCCCAAACUCCUACGGGAGGCAGCAGUGGGGAAUAUUGCACAAUGGGGGAAACCCUGAUGCAGCGACGCCGCGUGAGCGAAGAAGUAUUUCGGUAUGUAAAGCUCUAUCAGCAGGGAAGAAGAGUGACGGUACCUGACUAAGAAGCACCGGCUAAAUACGUGCCAGCAGCCGCGGUAAUACGUAUGGUGCAAGCGUUAUCCGGAUUUACUGGGUGUAAAGGGAGCGCAGGCGGUGCGGCAAGUCUGAUGUGAAAGCCCGGGGCUCAACCCCGGUACUGCAUUGGAAACUGUCGUACUAGAGUGUCGGAGGGGUAAGUGGAAUUCCUAGUGUAGCGGUGAAAUGCGUAGAUAUUAGGAGGAACACCAGUGGCGAA
RNAcentral lists this ribosomal RNA (529 nucleotides) under uncultured Lachnospiraceae bacterium. Its description in RNAcentral is "bacterial SSU rRNA". It matches the Rfam family "Bacterial small subunit ribosomal RNA", at positions 173 to 719 of the family's 1533-position model. The record is from RNAcentral. Lineage: Bacteria; Bacillati; Bacillota; Clostridia; Lachnospirales; Lachnospiraceae.